RNAcentral lists this ribosomal RNA (158 nucleotides) under Escherichia coli. RNAcentral's name for it is "partial 16S ribosomal RNA". It matches the Rfam family "Bacterial small subunit ribosomal RNA", at positions 1 to 150 of the family's 1533-position model. RNAcentral also lists the same sequence under 13 other names. The record is from RNAcentral. Lineage: Bacteria; Pseudomonadati; Pseudomonadota; Gammaproteobacteria; Enterobacterales; Enterobacteriaceae.
UUAAAUUGAAGAGUUUGAUCAUGGCUCAGAUUGAACGCUGGCGGCAGGCCUAACACAUGCAAGUCGAACGGUAACAGGAAGCAGCUUGCUGCUUUGCUGACGAGUGGCGGACGGGUGAGUAAUGUCUGGGAAACUGCCUGAUGGAGGGGGAUAACUAC